This 60-nucleotide transfer RNA is filed under the name Macridiscus semicancellata. RNAcentral describes it as "tRNA-Cys". Lineage: Eukaryota; Metazoa; Mollusca; Bivalvia; Venerida; Veneridae. RNAcentral also lists the same sequence under 1 other name. The record is from RNAcentral.
GGUCCUUUAGUUUAUAAAAAUGUUGAAUUGCAAACUCAGAGAUAGCUUGUCUAAGGGCUU